Zalophus californianus (California sea lion) is the source of this 107-nucleotide small nuclear RNA. NCBI's taxonomy places the organism in Eukaryota, Metazoa, Chordata, Mammalia, Carnivora, Otariidae. The record is from Ensembl.
GUGCUCACUUAGGCAACAUAGAUACUAAAACUGGAACAAUACAGAGAAGACUAGCAUGGCCACUGCACAAAAGUGAUAUGCAAAUUCGUGAAGCAUUCCAUAUUUUU